Molecule: ribosomal RNA, 253 nt
Filed under: uncultured bacterium
Lineage: Bacteria
Description: partial 16S ribosomal RNA
Rfam family: Bacterial small subunit ribosomal RNA
Source: RNAcentral
UACAGGGGGGGCAAGCGUUGUUCGGAAUUACUGGGCGUAAAGGGCUCGUAGGCGGCCAACUAAGUCCGACGUGAAAUCCCAAAGCUUAACUUUGGAACUGCGUCGGAUACUGGAUGGCUUGAAUUCGGGAGAGGGAUGCAGAAUUCCAGGUGUAGCGGUGAAAUGCGUAGAUAUCAGGAGGAACACCGGUGGCGAAAGCGGCUCACUGGACCGUUACUGACGCUGAGGUGCGAAAGCUAGGGGAGCAAACGGG